GACGAACGCUGGCGGCGUGCUUAACACAUGCAAGUCGAACGGAAAGGCCCUGCUUUUGUGGGGUGCUCGAGUGGCGAACGGGUGAGUAACACGUGAGUAACCUGCCCUUGACUUUGGGAUAACUUCAGGAAACUGGGGCUAAUACCGGAUAGGAGCUCCUGCUGCAUGGUGGGGGUUGGAAAGUUUCGGCGGUUGGGGAUGGACUCGCGGCUUAUCAGCUUGUUGGUGGGGUAGUGGCUUACCAAGGCUUUGACGGGUAGACGGCCUGAGGGGGUGACCGGCCACAAUGGGACUGAGAUACGGCACAGACUCCUACAGGAGGGAGCAGUGGGGAAUAUUGCACAAUGGGCGGAAGCCUGAUGCAGCAACGCCGCGUGCGGGAUGACGGCCUUCGGGUUGUAAACCGCUUUCGCCUGGGACGAAGCGUGAGUGACGGUAAUGGGUAAAGAAGCACCGGCUAACUACGUG
This 468-nucleotide ribosomal RNA is filed under the name uncultured bacterium. RNAcentral's name for it is "partial 16S ribosomal RNA". It matches the Rfam family "Bacterial small subunit ribosomal RNA", at positions 28 to 507 of the family's 1533-position model. The record is from RNAcentral.